Molecule: long non-coding RNA, 198 nt
Organism: Pipra filicauda (Wire-tailed manakin)
Lineage: Eukaryota; Metazoa; Chordata; Aves; Passeriformes; Pipridae
Exons: 2
Source: RefSeq, a predicted model, not a curated record
AAAACAUUUAACUUCAGGCACUCUACUCUUCCCAGAUGCUCUCGCAGCUCUGUCUUGCCACAGAAAGGCUUGUAAAGAGGGCUGUGUUUUCAGAAAAGCUUCUUCUCGAGGAGACUUAGUGUGUGCACACACCACGUGAAGUCAACAAGGGCUCAACUUCAAAGUGAAGCAUGUGAAUAAAUAUUAUCCUGACUUGAG